GUAGGUGAACCUGCGGAAGGAUCAUUAAUAAUACAGCGAAGCGGAUCAGCGAAGCGAAGCUGAGCUGUAUGGCGAAGCGUAGCUGAGCUGGGAGUAGCUUCACUGAGAGUAGCGUAGCACAGUGAAGCAUGACUCAAUGAGACAGGAUUACUUCACAGCAGUGCUCACAUUGAUCUACUGUGGUCAUUGCUGUGCUGCUGCAUUGACUCAUGCCUCACAGCUCGCACUCAAGACCGAGCAAGAGAGUAAG
This 250-nucleotide unclassified non-coding RNA is filed under the name plant metagenome. RNAcentral's name for it is "partial contains small subunit ribosomal RNA, internal transcribed spacer 1, and 5.8S ribosomal RNA". The record is from RNAcentral.